This 73-nucleotide transfer RNA is filed under the name Streptomyces sp. GS7. RNAcentral's name for it is "tRNA-Asn". It matches the Rfam family "tRNA". Rfam says of the family: Transfer RNA (tRNA) molecules are approximately 80 nucleotides in length. Lineage: Bacteria; Bacillati; Actinomycetota; Actinomycetes; Kitasatosporales; Streptomycetaceae. The record is from RNAcentral.
GGCCCCCGUAGCUCAGUGGGAGAGCGCCCGAUCGUUGAUCGGGAGGUCGGCGGUUCGAUUCCGGCCGGGGUCA